AUUGAACGCUGGCGGCAGGCCUAACACAUGCAAGUCGAACGGUAACAGGAAGCAGCUUGCUGCUUCGCUGACGAGUGGUGGACGGGUGAGUAAUGUCUGGGAAGCUGCCUGAUGGAGGGGGAUAACUACUGGAAACGGUAGCUAAUACCGCAUAAUGUCGCAAGACCAAAGAGGGGGACCUUCGGGCCUCUUGCCAUCGGAUGUGCCCAGAUGGGAUUAGCUUGUUGGUGGGGUAACGGCUCACCAAGGCGACGAUCCCUAGCUGGUCUGAGAGGAUGACCAGCCACACUGGAACUGAGACACGGUCCAGACUCCUACGGGAGGCAGCAGUGGGGAAUAUUGCACAAUGGGCGCAAGCCUGAUGCAGCCAUGCCGCGUGUAUGAAGAAGGCCUUCGGGUUGUAAAGUACUUUCAGCGGGGAGGAAGGGAGUAAAGUUAAUACCUUUGCUCAUUGACGUUACCCGCAGAAGAAGCACCGGCUAACUCCGUGCCAGCAGCCGCGGUAAUACGGAGGGUGCAAGCGUUAAUCGGAAUUACUGGGCGUAAAGCGCACGCAGGCGGUUUGUUAAGUCAGAUGUGAAAUCCCCGGGCUCAACCUGGGAACUGCAUCUGAUACUGGCAAGCUUGAGUCUCGUAGAGGGGGGUAGAAUUCCAGGUGUAGCGGUGAAAUGCGUAGAGAUCUGGAGGAAUACCGGUGGCGAAGGCGGCCCCCUGGACGAAGACUGACGCUCAGGUGCGAAAGCGUGGGGAGCAAACAGGAUUAGAUACCCUGGUAGUCCACGCCGUAAACGAUGUCGACUUGGAGGUUGUGCCCUUGAGGCGUGGCUUCCGGAGCUAACGCGUUAAGUCGACCGCCUGGGGAGUACGGCCGCAAGGUUAAAACUCAAAUGAAUUGACGGGGGCCCGCACAAGCGGUGGAGCAUGUGGUUUAAUUCGAUGCAACGCGAAGAACCUUACCUGGUCUUGACAUCCACGGAAGUUUUCAGAGAUGAGAAUGUGCCUUCGGGAACCGUGAGACAGGUGCUGCAUGGCCGUCGUCAGCUCGUGUUGUGAAAUGUUGGGUUAAGUCCCGCAACGAGCGCAACCCUUAUCCUUUGUUGCCAGCGGUCCGGCCGGGAACUCAAAGGAGACUGCCAGUGAUAAACUGGAGGAAGGUGGGGAUGACGUCAAGUCAUCAUGGCCCUUACGACCAGGGCUACACACGUGCUACAAUGGCGCAUACAAAGAGAAGCGACCUCGCGAGAGCAAGCGGACCUCAUAAAGUGCGUCGUAGUCCGGAUUGGAGUCUGCAACUCGACUCCAUGAAGUCGGAAUCGCUAGUAAUCGUGGAUCAGAAUGCCACGGUGAAUACGUUCCCGGGCCU
Molecule: ribosomal RNA, 1363 nt
Filed under: uncultured bacterium
Lineage: Bacteria
Description: bacterial SSU rRNA
Rfam family: Bacterial small subunit ribosomal RNA
Source: RNAcentral